GACGAACGCUGGCGGCGUGCUUAACACAUGCGAGUCGAACGAUGAAGCCGGAGCUUGCUCUGGUGAAUUAGUGGCGAACGGGUGAGUAACACGUGAGUAACCUGCCCUUGACUCUGGGAUAACUGCUAGAAAUGGUAGCUAAUACCGGAUACGACCCUCGGAGGCAUCUUCAGGGGGUGGAAAGAAUUUCGGUCAAGGAUGGACUCGCGGCCUAUCAGCUAGUUGGUGAGGUAAUGGCUCACCAAGGCGACGACGGGUAGCCGGCCUGAGAGGGUGACCGGGCACACUGGGACUGAGACACGGCCCAGACUCCUACGGGAGGCAGCAGUGGGGAAUAUUGCACAAUGGGCGCAAGCCUGAUGCAGCGACGCCGCGUGAGGGGUGACGGCCUUCGGGUUGUAAACCUCUUUCAGCACCGACGAAGCGCAAGUGACGGUAGGUGCAGAAGAAGGACCGGCCAACUACGUGCCAGCCGCCGCGGUAA
Molecule: ribosomal RNA, 484 nt
Filed under: uncultured bacterium
Lineage: Bacteria
Description: partial 16S ribosomal RNA
Rfam family: Bacterial small subunit ribosomal RNA
Source: RNAcentral